UAAUUUGAGAGUUUGAUCCUGGCUCAGGACGAACGCUGGCGGCGUGCCUAAUACAUGCAAGUCGAACGAACUCUGGUAUUGAUUGGUGCUUGCAUCAUGAUUUACAUUUGAGUGAGUGGCGAACUGGUGAGUAACACGUGGGAAACCUGCCCAGAAGCGGGGGAUAACACCUGGAAACAGAUGCUAAUACCGCAUAACAACUUGGACCGCAUGGUCCGAGUUUGAAAGAUGGCUUCGGCUAUCACUUUUGGAUGGUCCCGCGGCGUAUUAGCUAGAUGGUGAGGUAACGGCUCACCAUGGCAAUGAUACGUAGCCGACCUGAGAGGGUAAUCGGCCACAUUGGGACUGAGACACGGCCCAAACUCCUACGGGAGGCAGCAGUAGGGAAUCUUCCACAAUGGACGAAAGUCUGAUGGAGCAACGCCGCGUGAGUGAAGAAGGGUUUCGGCUCGUAAAACUCUGUUGUUAAAGAAGAACAUAUCUGAGAGUAACUGUUCAGGUAUUGACGGUAUUUAACCAGAAAGCCACGGCUAACUACGUGCCAGCAGCCGCGGUAAUACGUAGGUGGCAAGCGUUGUCCGGAUUUAUUGGGCGUAAAGCGAGCGCAGGCGGUUUUUUAAGUCUGAUGUGAAAGCCUUCGGCUCAACCGAAGAAGUGCAUCGGAAACUGGGAAACUUGAGUGCAGAAGAGGACAGUGGAACUCCAUGUGUAGCGGUGAAAUGCGUAGAUAUAUGGAAGAACACCAGUGGCGAAGGCGGCUGUCUGGUCUGUAACUGACGCUGAGGCUCGAAAGUAUGGGUAGCAAACAGGAUUAGAUACCCUGGUAGUCCAUACCGUAAACGAUGAAUGCUAAGUGUUGGAGGGUUUCCGCCCUUCAGUGCUGCAGCUAACGCAUUAAGCAUUCCGCCUGGGGAGUACGGCCGCAAGGCUGAAACUCAAAGGAAUUGACGGGGGCCCGCACAAGCGGUGGAGCAUGUGGUUUAAUUCGAAGCUACGCGAAGAACCUUACCAGGUCUUGACAUACUAUGCAAAUCUAAGAGAUUAGACGUUCCCUUAGGGGACAUGGAUACAGGUGGUGCAUGGUUGUCGUCAGCUCGUGUCGUGAGAUGUUGGGUUAAGUCCCGCAACGAGCGCAACCCUUAUUAUCAGUUGCCAGCAUUAAGUUGGGCACUCUGGUGAGACUGCCGGUGACAAACCGGAGGAAGGUGGGGAUGACGUCAAAUCAUCAUGCCCCUUAUGACCUGGGCUACACACGUGCUACAAUGGAUGGUACAACGAGUUGCGAACUCGCGAGAGUAAGCUAAUCUCUUAAAGCCAUUCUCAGUUCGGAUUGUAGGCUGCAACUCGCCUACAUGAAGUCGGAAUCGCUAGUAAUCGCGGAUCAGCAUGCCGCGGUGAAUACGUUCCCGGGCCUUGUACACACCGCCCGUCACACCAUGAGAGUUUGUAACACCCAAAGUCGGUGGGGUAACCUUUUAGGAACCAGCCGCCUAAGGUGGGACAGAUGAUUAGGGUGAAGUCGUAACAAGGUAGCCGUAGGAGAACCUGCGGCUGGAUCACCUCCUUU
RNAcentral lists this ribosomal RNA (1567 nucleotides) under Lactiplantibacillus plantarum. RNAcentral describes it as "16S ribosomal RNA". It matches the Rfam family "Bacterial small subunit ribosomal RNA". Lineage: Bacteria; Bacillati; Bacillota; Bacilli; Lactobacillales; Lactobacillaceae. The record is from RNAcentral.